This 482-nucleotide ribosomal RNA is filed under the name uncultured bacterium. RNAcentral describes it as "partial 16S ribosomal RNA". It matches the Rfam family "Bacterial small subunit ribosomal RNA", at positions 28 to 506 of the family's 1533-position model. The record is from RNAcentral.
GACGAACGCUGGCGGCGUGCUUAACACAUGCAAGUCGAACGCUGAAGCUCAGCUUUUGUUGGGUGGAUGAGUGGCGAACGGGUGAGUAACACGUGAGUAACCUGCCUCCUUCUUUGGGAUAACGCCCGGAAACGGGUGCUAAUACUGGAUAUUCACUGGUCUUCGCAUGGGGGUUUGUGGAAAGGGUUUUUCUGGUGGGGGAUGGGCUCGCGGCCUAUCAGCUUGUUGGUGGGGUGAUGGCCUACCAAGGCUUUGACGGGUAGCCGGCCUGAGAGGGUGACCGGUCACAUUGGGACUGAGAUACGGCCCAGACUCCUACGGGAGGCAGCAGUGGGGAAUAUUGCACAAUGGGCGCAAGCCUGAUGCAGCGACGCCGCGUGAGGGAUGGAGGCCUUCGGGUUGUGAACCUCUUUCGCUCAUGGUCAAGCCGCAACAAUGGUUGUGGUGAGGGUAGUGGGUAAAGAAGCGCCGGCUAACUACGU